This 490-nucleotide long non-coding RNA is filed under the name Equus caballus (horse). RNAcentral's name for it is "lncRNA (ENSECAG00000042869.2)". The record is from RNAcentral. Lineage: Eukaryota; Metazoa; Chordata; Mammalia; Perissodactyla; Equidae.
GAUGUGUGAGAGUACUGGAACCCGUUGGCACUAAUUGGUCUCUUAUAGGUCUCUAUCACUUUACCUGAACAUUAAGGACCCCAUGCCCCUCUUUUCCUGAGACCAACAGGAGAACAUGCCCAGUGGCACAAAACUCGACAUGCUGCAGAGGGAAAAUCUCUAUAUUUCACCAGACAAUCCCAACAAUCUAAGAAGGACUGGAGAGACAACUUUUUUUUACUGGUGCCCUUGAGUUUGCAACAUGCAUUUACAACAAAUUCACAUCUGCUUUCAAAUAACACCAUACUACUUCACAGCUUCCCUAACUGUGGAAAAAAAUAAAUGAUCUCAAUAUGAUGAAACAUAAUGUAUAAACCUGCAACCUGCAAUUGUUCCGGCUACCAUUCAAGUACAAAUAAUCGCUUGGCUGGAAUUUGGAAGAGAGGUCAAGGUGGCCUACCUCAAAUUUGCUUUAAAUUGAGAACAGAAUUAAAAGAUUCUUUUGUGUGUC